UACGUAGGGGGCUAGCGUUGUCCGGAAUCAUUGGGCGUAAAGAGCGCGUAGGCGGCUGGAAUAGUCCGGUGUGAAAUCCACAGGCUUAACCUGUGAAUGCCGCUGGAAACUGUCUGGCUAGAGUCCGGAAGGGGCGAGUGGAAUUCCUGGUGUAGCGGUGAAAUGCGCAGAUAUCAGGAGGAACACCAAUGGCGAAGGCAGCUCGCUGGGACGGUACUGACGCUGAGGAGCGAAAGCGUGGGGAGCGAACAGG
This 253-nucleotide ribosomal RNA is filed under the name uncultured bacterium. Its description in RNAcentral is "partial 16S ribosomal RNA". It matches the Rfam family "Bacterial small subunit ribosomal RNA", at positions 524 to 776 of the family's 1533-position model. The record is from RNAcentral.